Manihot esculenta (cassava) is the source of this 256-nucleotide long non-coding RNA. RefSeq lists it as uncharacterized. The record is from RefSeq and is a predicted model, not a curated record. Lineage: Eukaryota; Viridiplantae; Streptophyta; Magnoliopsida; Malpighiales; Euphorbiaceae. The transcript has 3 exons.
ACUCUUGUGCUUCUUAAAUGGUUGUGUUUACAUUUUUUAUGCAUACAAAGUCUAUUGGAGUAGCUGUGUUAAAGGAAUUCACACUGGACAGAUGGUUCUGCGCUUAGUCGAAGCUAUUGAUGUUUAUCUUGCUGGAACUGUGAUGCUAAUCUUCGGCAUGGGCUUAUACGGAUUAUUUAUCAGCAAUGUGCCUCCUGAUGUUCCUUCCCAUGUCGACCGAGCCCUAAAAGGCUCUUCCCUAUUUGGAAUAUUUGCU